This 46-nucleotide non-coding RNA is filed under the name unclassified sequences. Its description in RNAcentral is "DUF3800-XI RNA". It matches the Rfam family "DUF3800-XI RNA". Rfam says of the family: Actinobacteria, Firmicutes, Proteobacteria, Spirochaetes (1 example). Nearby to DUF3800 The record is from Rfam by way of RNAcentral.
CGGGCUGGCCGUGAGGUCUGGUUCACCAACAGCGGGGAAAUUCCCC